UUGCAUUCUAAGCUCAAUGAUGUCACCAGGCCUAAGAUCUGGUAAAGUCUUCACCUUUUCAGCCUCCUCAAUGAACUGUUUGUUCAGAAUCCCAAUGAUCUCCCCGAACUUAACCGGGGGCUUGCUCGGCGGCGGAGGCUCAUCUUCUUCCUCCUGCUCUUCCUCCGCCACCGCGACAGCCGCCUCCGCCUCACCCUCCUCCACCUCAGCGUCAGUCGAGGCAGCAACAGCCUCAGCCUCAGCCUCAGCGGCGGGCUCCGG
This 261-nucleotide unclassified non-coding RNA is filed under the name Hevea brasiliensis (rubber tree). The record is from RNAcentral. Lineage: Eukaryota; Viridiplantae; Streptophyta; Magnoliopsida; Malpighiales; Euphorbiaceae.